Non-coding RNA from Elusimicrobia bacterium GWB2_63_22, 55 nucleotides. The record is from Rfam. Lineage: Bacteria; Pseudomonadati; Elusimicrobiota.
CGGGGUGCGAAUCCCCGGCUGCCCCGCAACGGUGAUGCCGCAAGGCUAAGCCCGG